AUUUAUAUAGUUUAAAAAAAAAACAUUACAUUUUCAAUGUAAAAAUAAAAAUUUAUUUUUUAUAAAUA
This 68-nucleotide transfer RNA is filed under the name Anopheles evansae. RNAcentral describes it as "tRNA-Glu". Lineage: Eukaryota; Metazoa; Arthropoda; Insecta; Diptera; Culicidae. RNAcentral also lists the same sequence under 6 other names. The record is from RNAcentral.